This 72-nucleotide transfer RNA is filed under the name Ovis aries (sheep). It matches the Rfam family "tRNA". From Rfam's summary of the family: Transfer RNA (tRNA) molecules are approximately 80 nucleotides in length. Their secondary structure includes four short double-helical elements and three loops (D, anti-codon, and T loops). The record is from Rfam by way of RNAcentral. Lineage: Eukaryota; Metazoa; Chordata; Mammalia; Artiodactyla; Bovidae.
UCCCUGGUGGCUCAGAUGGUAAAGAAUCUGCCUGCAAUACAGGAAACCCAGUUUCAAUCCCUGGCUCGGGAA